RNAcentral lists this ribosomal RNA (495 nucleotides) under Staphylococcus aureus. RNAcentral's name for it is "partial 23S ribosomal RNA". It matches the Rfam family "Bacterial large subunit ribosomal RNA", at positions 1487 to 1979 of the family's 2925-position model. The record is from RNAcentral. Lineage: Bacteria; Bacillati; Bacillota; Bacilli; Caryophanales; Staphylococcaceae.
CGAAGCGUGCGAUUGGAUUGCACGUCUAAGCAGUAAGGCUGAGUAUUAGGCAAAUCCGGUACUCGUUAAGGCUGAGCUGUGAUGGGGAGAAGACAUUGUGUCUUCGAGUCGUUGAUUUCACACUGCCGAGAAAAGCCUCUAGAUAGAAAAUAGGUGCCCGUACCGCAAACCGACACAGGUAGUCAAGAUGAGAAUUCUAAGGUGAGCGAGCGAACUCUCGUUAAGGAACUCGGCAAAAUGACCCCGUAACUUCGGGAGAAGGGGUGCUCUUUAGGGUUAACGCCCAGAAGAGCCGCAGUGAAUAGGCCCAAGCGACUGUUUAUCAAAAACACAGGUCUCUGCUAAACCGUAAGGUGAUGUAUAGGGGCUGACGCCUGCCCGGUGCUGGAAGGUUAAGAGGAGUGGUUAGCUUCUGCGAAGCUACGAAUCGAAGCCCCAGUAAACGGCGGCCGUAACUAUAACGGUCCUAAGGUAGCGAAAUUCCUUGUCGGGUAA